CUGCAGGAGCAAAAGGUUAAAACUAUCUAAAUGUCAGCCAGGCGCAGUGGCUGGGAGGUUGAGGCAGGAGAAUCGCUUGAACCAAGGAGGCAGGAGGUUGCAGUGAGCCGAGACUGAGCCACUAUACUCCAGCCUGGCAUCAGAGCAAGACUCUGUCUCAAAAAAACAACAACAACAACAAAAAAAAAACUAAAUAUCUAGCUGUAGGGGAGUAGUUAAAUAAACUGUGGCAUAUCCAUGUAACAAUGCUGUGAAACUGGAAUAAAUAAAUAAACAAAACAUAGAAGCCCAUGAAGCCAUCAAGUCACUUCCUGAACAGCUCCCCUUUUUCUCGAAUUGUGUUUGUUUAAAUGAAUUUGGAGCUGCCCAUCCCAGCUUGGAAGACUGGCCGAGAAAGGGGCACAUUUUG
RNAcentral lists this long non-coding RNA (409 nucleotides) under Pan troglodytes (chimpanzee). Its description in RNAcentral is "long non-coding RNA NONPTRT016645". Lineage: Eukaryota; Metazoa; Chordata; Mammalia; Primates; Hominidae. The record is from RNAcentral.